Molecule: ribosomal RNA, 253 nt
Filed under: uncultured bacterium
Lineage: Bacteria
Description: partial 16S ribosomal RNA
Rfam family: Bacterial small subunit ribosomal RNA
Source: RNAcentral
UACGUAGGUGGCAAGCGUUGUCCGGAUUUACUGGGCGUAAAGGAUGCGUAGGCGGACAUUUAAGUCAGAUGUGAAAUACCCGAGCUUAACUUGGGUGCUGCAUUUGAAACUGGGUGUCUAGAGUGCAGGAGAGGUAAGUGGAAUUCCUAGUGUAGCGGUGAAAUGCGUAGAGAUUAGGAAGAACACCAGUGGCGAAGGCGACUUACUGGACUGUAACUGACGCUGAGGCGUGAAAGCGUGGGGAGCAAACAGG